GAUCGUUUGCUUUGUCCAACCCGAAGAUGUUUAUUUUGCAAUUACAUAAAAAAGCUGGAAAUCAUCACAUUUGAGAAGCUCAAAGCAAAUAUUUGGCCACUUACAUUGAUUAUUUCCAGAGUCCCCAACAAUGAUUUGUGCACAAAAACACUAGAAGUUAAAUAUAAACUACAUAAACUAGACUUUUAAUAUUAUGUCUUAGAGUGAUGCAGUUAUACUACUUCGAUUUAGAGAAUGACUAGAGGCAUCCGGGGAGAGGCUGCACCCCCAAACCCCACAACAAGCAGAUAUAAAAUGUCUUUUCCUUCUCCGGACAUAUAUAGAAACAGAACAGGACAAACAUUUUCGUAACCCUCCACACCCUCAUAGUAGUCUCUUCCUAAUGAAGGAGCCUUCCUCCCUUCAGAGCCUCUUCCUCUGUUUUGGAUCUGACACUGUAUCUGAACCCCACUGUGUAAAUAUGGCUGCUGAACGGGUCGACCUCUUCACUGCCGAGGGAAGUUAAUUUGUUGACGGGCGGGAAGGUGAGCAGGAGUCACGCUCUCAGAGGUCAUUCAAUAAUCGCCCCGGGGCAAGAGCCCCCCAGGUGAAUUCUGGGAUGCAUUUUUCCGAUAAAUCGUUUACAGUGGCUGUGCAGUCCCUCGGGGCCCCCAGAUAAAGUUUGCCAAUCAAAAUUUUUCCGAAGCAGCCACCUCACCCUCUAACACAUGCAUACACAAACCUGCACACGAAUACACUUAUACAGUCUCACACACACUCACACACAUUCAGCUUCUUUAAUUGUGACUUUGGAAAGAAGAUGUGACAGUGGCGCACAGCUCUCUGUGGAAGUUUGAAAGCAGUAGUGUGGGGGUGGAUGGAGGAAGGUAGAAGACUGUGUACGUUUGAGUUUGUGUGUGUUUGACUGUGUGUAUUCAACUGUGUUUGCACAGGGACAGGGGAGGGUGUCUUCCAACAAUAGCUUCCCCUCCUCUGAUCGUCUGCCAAGGUUUUGAUGAAGAAAGUCACUGCACGUCUUUUCUCCAUGAUAAUUCUCCCCCCCCACACUCACAUGAGGCAGCCCUCCCUGGUGCCACCCUCCCGCCGCCACCCUCCCGCCUGCAUCGAGUUAUCGCAUCUGGGCACACGUUGGCCGCGGCUGGGCCUGCACCGGUACAGGCUGUGGAAGGGCAGACGAAGGAACGUUCUGUG
Long non-coding RNA from Micropterus dolomieu (smallmouth bass), 1191 nucleotides. RefSeq lists it as uncharacterized. The transcript is spliced from 3 exons. Lineage: Eukaryota; Metazoa; Chordata; Actinopteri; Centrarchiformes; Centrarchidae. The record is from RefSeq and is a predicted model, not a curated record.